RNAcentral lists this unclassified non-coding RNA (335 nucleotides) under soil metagenome. Its description in RNAcentral is "partial contains 5.8S ribosomal RNA, internal transcribed spacer 2, and large subunit ribosomal RNA". The stretch from base 1 to 120 matches the Rfam family "5.8S ribosomal RNA", at positions 35 to 154 of the family's 154-position model. The record is from RNAcentral.
GAUGAAGAACGUAGCGAAAUGCGAUAAGUAGUGUGAAUUGCAGAAUUCAGUGAAUCAUCGAAUCUUUGAACGCACAUUGCGCCCCUUGGUAUUCCAUGGGGCAUGCCUGUUCGAGCGUCAUUUGUACCUUCAAGCUUGCUUGGUGUUGGGUGUUUGUCUCGCCUUUGCGUGUAGACUCGCCUUAAAAUAAUUGGCAGCCGGCGUAUUGAUUUCGGAGCGCAGUACAUCUCGCGCUUUGCACUCAUAACGACAGCGUCCAAAAGUACAUUUUACACUCUUGACCUCGGAUCAGGUAGGGAUACCCGCUGAACUUAAGCAUAUCAAUAAGCGGAGGA